RNAcentral lists this ribosomal RNA (143 nucleotides) under uncultured eukaryote. RNAcentral describes it as "partial small subunit ribosomal RNA". It matches the Rfam family "Bacterial small subunit ribosomal RNA", at positions 1383 to 1525 of the family's 1533-position model. The record is from RNAcentral.
GUACACACCGCCCGUCACACCAUGGGAGUUGGCUUCACCCGAAGGCAGUGCGCUAACCGCAAGGAGGCAGCUGACCACGGUGGGAUCAGCGACUGGGGUGAAGUCGUAACAAGGUAGCCGUAGGUGAACCUGCAGAAGGAUCA